RNAcentral lists this microRNA precursor (87 nucleotides) under Canis lupus familiaris (dog). RNAcentral describes it as "mir-8799 microRNA precursor family". It matches the Rfam family "mir-8799 microRNA precursor family". The record is from Rfam by way of RNAcentral. RNAcentral also lists the same sequence under 1 other name. Lineage: Eukaryota; Metazoa; Chordata; Mammalia; Carnivora; Canidae.
GGGGGGAGGCCAGAUCCUGGGCUGUGUUCUGCCCUGUGGUCCUGGGCUUGCGCUGUUGGAUUCCCACUCCCAGAGGCGCAGCCCCCU